AUUGAACGCUGGCGGCAUGCUUUACACAUGCAAGUCGAACGGCAGCACGGGUGCUUGCACCUGGUGGCGAGUGGCGAACGGGUGAGUAAUGCGUCGGAACGUGUCGAGUAAUGGGGGAUAACGCAGCGAAAGUUGUGCUAAUACCGCAUACGCCCUGAGGGGGAAAGUGGGGGAUCGCAAGACCUCACGUUAUUCGAGCGGCCGACGUCUGAUUAGCUAGUUGGUGGGGUAAAGGCCUACCAAGGCGACGAUCAGUAGCGGGUCUGAGAGGAUGAUCCGCCACACUGGGACUGAGACACGGCCCAGACUCCUACGGGAGGCAGCAGUGGGGGAAUAUUGCACAAUGGAGGAAACUCUGAUGCAGCGACGCCGCGUGAGUGAAGAAGGUCUUCGGAUCGUAAAACUCUGUCCUUGGUGAAGAAAAGACGGUAGCCAAGGAGGAAGCCCCGGCUAACUACGUGCCAGCAGCCGCGGUAAA
Molecule: ribosomal RNA, 478 nt
Filed under: uncultured bacterium
Lineage: Bacteria
Description: bacterial SSU rRNA
Rfam family: Bacterial small subunit ribosomal RNA
Source: RNAcentral